Non-coding RNA from Chlorocebus sabaeus (green monkey), 1201 nucleotides. The record is from RefSeq and is a predicted model, not a curated record. NCBI's taxonomy places the organism in Eukaryota, Metazoa, Chordata, Mammalia, Primates, Cercopithecidae.
CACGUUAGGAACUUUGCAGGAAAACACAAAGAGACUGUAGAGAUUACAACCACCACCUUAUCCGCUGCUGAAGAGUUUGUGUGCAUGUUUAAGUGUUUCGCCCAGCUCCUCUUUCCCCGGCUACAAACAGCAAACACACGAAUGAGCUAGCCAGCUCUUAAACUGAAAAACCUCUCGAAGCAGGCGAGUGAUGCAAGAGAAAAUCUGAGGGGCGGCACGAGGGUCAAAUAAAAGUUGCUUUUCAGUUCGCUCCUCCAAGCCCCGCAGCGACCGCAGGGGGGUGAGAUUCCCAAAGCCACUUUCACACCUUCGAUAAUGCACUAGCAAAGAGAAGCCCGAAGAGGCUGAAGUUUCCACGGAGGGCACCGUCGGGGAGACGCAGCCCGGGAGGACGGGAGGGUUGGGCUCGCUACCUCUGUACACGGGCGAGCCGGGGCUCCGUCUCUCAGCAUGUGACACCUUCUGCCAUGGGAUGAUGCCACAAGAAGAACCUCACCAACUGCUCGCACCUUGAUAGUGGACUUCACAGCCUCCAGAACUGUGAGCCAGGAAAAAUGUGUGACUGCAAAUUUGGAAACUAGACAGGAUCUACCAAUACAGGGCAGAAUGUUAAAAAGAGGAUGAAUUUUGAUUUCAGAAAAUUUAGAAGAAAAUGGAUUUCUCAGGCAACUGAAAGAACAUAUUUGGAUCUGUUAAGACUAAGGGAGGCUUCAAGAGAACAGGACUUUGUGUUGGACAGACUAUCUGUGACAGGGAAAAAAACCCCUUCUCAAUGAUUAGGGACAAAUCAGUUAACUGGCUUGAGUUUCACAUUCUUCAUCUGUAAAAUCUGGUGAUUAGACUGGCCCAGCAAAAGAUAUAAUACACAUAAAUUGGAAUGAAUCUGCAUUUUCCAAGCCUGAUGAAUUUAUUAAAACUGAAUUAAGUCACUAACUGGCAGCCUGAAGAUGCAAGGAAAGAACUGAGUCAUGCUUCUUAAGGUAAAAGGGCAGUCUAACUGAGAAUUUUGUUAUCUCUGAGGACAAAUUACAAGGAGAUAAAGACACUCAAGAUCACAUGGAAGGCUUCUGCUCCCACUUAGAGACUGCAAUGUAAGGUAUGGAAACAGAAUAUUCUCUAUAGAAACAUAAAUGUUAAAAUAUGAACAUUUUUGUUCUUAUUUCAAUCCAAAAAUAAAUAAAUGAAUUAAAUGUCAAAGAUA